This 506-nucleotide ribosomal RNA is filed under the name uncultured bacterium. Its description in RNAcentral is "partial 16S ribosomal RNA". It matches the Rfam family "Bacterial small subunit ribosomal RNA", at positions 29 to 523 of the family's 1533-position model. The record is from RNAcentral.
AGUGAACGCUGGCGGUAGGCCUAACACAUGCAAGUCGAACGGCAGCACAGGAGAGCUUGCUCUCUGGGUGGCGAGUGGCGGACGGGUGAGGAAUACAUCGGAAUCUACUUUUUCGUGGGGGAUAACGUAGGGAAACUAACGCUAAUACCGCAUACGACCUACGGGUGAAAGCAGGGGACCUUCGGGCCUUGAGCGAUUGAAUGAGCCGAUGUCGGAUAAGCUAGUUGGCGGGGUAAAGGCCCACCAAGGCCACGAUCCGUAGCUGGUCUGAGAGGAUGAUCAGCCACACUGGAACUGAGACACGGUCCAGACUACUACGGGAGGCAGCAGUGGGGAAUAUUGGACAAUGGGCGCAAGCCUGAUCCAGCCAUACCGCGUGGGUGAAGAAGGCCUUCGGGUUGUAAAGCCCUUUUGUUGGGAAAGAAAUCCAGCUGGCUAAUACCCGGUUGGGAUGACGGUACCCAAAGAAUAAGCACCGGCUAACCUCGUGCCAGCCGCCGCAGUAA